Heterocephalus glaber (naked mole-rat) is the source of this 2002-nucleotide non-coding RNA. The record is from RefSeq and is a predicted model, not a curated record. Lineage: Eukaryota; Metazoa; Chordata; Mammalia; Rodentia; Bathyergidae.
CUGAAACAGGUUCUUGAAAGGAUUGCGACGUGGUGGACAAGGAGGUGCCGGACGCGGCAGUCGAGCCUCUUGUCCAGGGAGUCCCGGUGACAACCCCGGCUCCCAGGUUAGGUCUCAUUCUGUUUGUGUGGAGCAAAUGGUGAGUGGGACAGCGAGAGUGAGAAGUGUCUUCCUUGUUCAGUGUCUGUUGUUCAGUAGCUGUCAAAAUUUAUCAUGGACAGUUCGAAUUCAAAAUCCAUGGCCAGGGAUUUAGCUCAGUGGUUCUGCUGCCUGCCUCACAAGAGCAAGGACCCAAGUUCGAUCCCUGGUACCUCCCCAAAAUCCAUUAGUCCUCUUCAGUGUAUUUUGGCCCAUUUCAGACAGGUUUACUCUAAUGUAAAGGAAGAUAAAUAUGGAGUGAGGUUUUCUAAGGGAAAACUCUACACCCUUUGUAAAUUAAAACAUUUGGAACCACAUCCCCUUGGCCUGUAGAAGGGUCCUUUGUGCCCUCUCAGGUCAGGGAGGUCUGGAAAGUAGUCACAGGAAAGCCCAGACACCCAGACCAAUUCCCUUACAUAGAUGUUUGGAUGGAUUUGGUAGAGGACCCUCCUAAAUGGGUCACACAAUGUGGACUACAAUGGAAAUGCACUGUUUUAACCAACAGAAAAGUGCCUCCGGGCAGAUUUGAAACUAACCAGAAGCCUAAGAUUUUUCCAGGUGACCCAGAGGAUGACUCACUGCCACCCUACGCCACUGCCCCUGCAGCUGCAAUCUAGCCCCUGUUCCUCAUCUUUUUCUCCCUGCAACCCUUUUUCUCCCCCACACACUCGUUCAGGUCAACCCUUUGGGGCCCCACCGGGGUCCUCCCUCGUGGAAACAGGAGAAAUGACUUCCCUUCUUUGAGCCCCAUUGGCGGGGCCAGCUCCAUCCUCUGUUGUGGUUAACAUGCCUGACUCCAUGUUGGUCCUACCUCUGAGAGAGGUAGCCCCUGGUCAGGACAUGGUUUAUAUCCCUUUCACUACUUCUGACCUCUCCCUCAUUGAUCUCCUUGGUUCAGUUUUUCAAACUCAUCUCCCUACUUGGGACUAUUGUCAACAACUGUUACAGGUUCUCUUCACCACCUAGGAACGAGACCGGAUCCUCCAAGAAGCCGCCACGGUGGUUUUAGGGCCAGGGGCAGGGAUUGACCCCAACCAGCAGGCCAGGUUAUGAGAAAUCCUGCCUUGGAAAAGGCCUGACUUGGGGCCCAAACACUGAGCAAGGAUUUGCCAGAAGAGGCGAUGGCUAAAAAGCUUGGAAAAGUCACUAUCGUGGCCUUGGACGCCAGAGACCAACAGCAACCUCGAGGGAGAGGCAGAACCCCAAACCAAGGUCAAGCCCUACAACAGGUACAACAGGAAACCAGGGAACCUCUCCUGGCUGCCACCCCACCACCACAGCCAUUCAAGCCCCAUCAGUUCCAGCCCGGAGACCUCAUUCUGUUUCAGAGAUAUAGGCCAGAAACAUUGAAACCAACGUGAAAAGGACCCUACCCAGUAGUGUUGAUGACCCCAUCUGCCCUCAAGGUAACAGGAAUAACUCCGUGGAUGCAUCACAGCCACGUCAAAGCUGCCCCUCCAAAGGACGACCUCACAGAAAAGCAAUAGAAGGUCGUCGGCAGACCAGGAGAAACAAAGAUAAGACUGAAAAAGGACAAAUAAUUUACAUGAUCUGGGUUGGAAACAAAACCAUACUUGUGCUAAUUCUGUGGCUAAUAAGGUUUCAGAAAAGUGAUGCUAGCAACCCCUAUGCACCACAAACAGAAAUUUGGGAACUCAGAAUGGCUAACAGCGCAGGGUGGUAAGCCAAAUCAACAAGAGUCCUGAUACCAGCCAAGUUAAAUUCAAUUUAAGUCUGUACAGUAUGUUUUCGGAAACAUGGAGUCUAGCUAGAGGAAUAGGAGGAUGCCAAAUUAUGAGUUGGACAAAACCACAUCCCAUUCACUUCUAUGUUUGUCCGGCAGAAGGUGGUUCUGAGUGGCGGG